UAGAGAUGUGUGAUGACGCAUAUCAAUAAGCGGAGGAAAAGAAACUAACAAGGAUUCCCCUAGUAACGGCGAGUGAAGCGGGAAGAGCUCAAAUUUGAAAUCUUAAAGGGUUUCCCUUUACGAAUUGUAGUUUAAAGAAGUGUUUUCUGUUGGAGUUUCGGUAAAAGUUCUUUGGAAUAGGACAUCAUAGAGGGUGAGAAUCCCGUAUUUGACCGUUACUUUCCAGCUGUGUGAUACACUUUCAAAGAGUCGGAUUGUUUGGGAAUGCAGUCCAAAAUGGGUGGUAAAUUUCAUCUAAAGCUAAAUAUUGGCGAGAGACCGAUAGCGAACAAGUACCGUGAGGGAAAGAUGAAAAGAACUUUGAAAAGAGAGUUAAACAGUACGUGAAAUUGUCAAAAGGGAAGCGUUUGACACCAGUGUUGUUUAGUUGAAAAUCAAUUUAAUAGUUUUUGAUUUUGAGUAGUAUUGACUUCAUCAGCUUGCUGCUCUUUUUCUCAGGAAAUUAUUGAAUGCACUUUUCAGUUAACAAGUCAACAUCAAUUUCUUUUGUUGUAAAAGGGUAAGAGGAAGGUGGCUUACGCUUCGGCGUCAAGUGUUUAUAGCCUUUUACCUCUGCAAUCGGAGAGAUUGAGGUACAUGCAGCGUAGACUCCUUCUGGGGUUAGAUACACUUGUACGCUAAGCUAUAGCCUUGUAUAGACAACAUUGUUGACUAUGCUCAGUCAUGUAGCUUACUCGUAGAUGCUAUUUUACCUACGCUUAGGAUGUUGAUCUGUAGUGCGUGCGC
This 786-nucleotide ribosomal RNA is filed under the name uncultured Neocallimastigales. Its description in RNAcentral is "partial large subunit ribosomal RNA". It matches the Rfam family "Eukaryotic large subunit ribosomal RNA", at positions 23 to 646 of the family's 3401-position model. The record is from RNAcentral. Lineage: Eukaryota; Fungi; Neocallimastigomycota; Neocallimastigomycetes; Neocallimastigales.